Non-coding RNA from Triticum aestivum (bread wheat), 196 nucleotides. The record is from Rfam. Lineage: Eukaryota; Viridiplantae; Streptophyta; Magnoliopsida; Poales; Poaceae.
AUACCUUUCUCGGCCUUUUGGCUAAGAUCAAGUGUAGUAUCUGUUCUUAUCAGUUUAAUAUCUGAUAUGUGGGCUACAUGCCCACAAUGAUAUUAAAUUUAUUUUUUAUGGGGAAAGAGCCACCACAAUAGCUUGCUAUUGGGCCUCUCUUGUGUUGCCUAGGCGUUGCACUACCGCCUAGGCCGGCGCACCCCAA